Molecule: microRNA precursor, 61 nt
Filed under: Mus pahari (shrew mouse)
Lineage: Eukaryota; Metazoa; Chordata; Mammalia; Rodentia; Muridae
Description: microRNA 6984 (MGP_PahariEiJ_G0006602.1)
Source: RNAcentral
GUGAAGCUAAAAGGCAAUGAAGGAGGUGCACUCACAGUGUCCUUUCUUUUCUGUCUCCUAG